Long non-coding RNA from Eriocheir sinensis (Chinese mitten crab), 960 nucleotides. RefSeq lists it as uncharacterized. The transcript is spliced from 8 exons. NCBI's taxonomy places the organism in Eukaryota, Metazoa, Arthropoda, Malacostraca, Decapoda, Varunidae. The record is from RefSeq and is a predicted model, not a curated record.
CCCGCCACCGUGCACGUCACCAUCCUGGACCUCAACGACAACUACCCGCACAUCAUCAAGCCGCUAAUACUCCUCCAAGAACCUUUGAUCACGGCGUUUCCGGUCAAGGCUUUGUCUUCUCAGCGCUUCAGAGCUGGGGUGUUGUGCCAAACUUGGGUCCACGUUCUCGACAAGCUUCUCAUAGCCUGGCAUCAGAAAAGAGACACACACACACACCCUAGCAGCUGGCCGGUGGAGGUGUGGGCGGCCGAAGACGCUGCAGGGAACACGCGAAAGCUCCAGAACUGAUGCGUGUGUGGCGCACGUGUGGUGGUAAGACGUUCUCCCUCCCUCCCUCUCGGUUUCUUCAGCACGGGAUGCGGGCGAGAGGAGUCUUGCUUGAUGGAGUGGAACAUUCAUCUGCAGAACCGCUGAGACUGCCAUGAGGACCCUCUCUGCCUCCUCACCAACCUCACGUCACUCCACCAAGAAGAAUAAGGUUGACGGGUGGUUGACGCUGUUCAACCUGCUCGGAAGUAGAAAAUUGAGUGCCCCAGGCCUGUGUGCUAGUGAUGUGCCCAACCCCCUCAAGCUUUGCCUCCUUACCACACUGAACACAUCACACCUCCUCAUCACCUCACCUACCUCCCCAUCCCUCAUGCUGUGCACCUCAGCAUUGUCCAGUCAUGUACAGCCACCACCACCAUCUCUGCCUGUCACUUUGAACUUGGUCUGGGAAGGAAGGGAAGCAUCUCAAGACUCAGGAAUCAAGGUCCACAGUCCACCGCAGUCCAUCAGGAGUGGGAGUCUGGUCUACCGUGGGACAGCAAAGGUACUGGUAAAGGACUCGUCUCAUCUCGUCUCCCCCAGCAUCCAGGUAGUAUCUUGAAGGCCUGACUGGUUCCCUCGGCUCAGUGGUCUUGUCUCUGUCUCCCUCCCUGCAAGAGUCUGGCAGAGUUUAGUGCCAAGAAUAUAUAUAUA